CAGUCGCCACGGGAAUACAGAGGAUGCAAGCGUUAUCCGGAAUGAUUGGGCGUAAAGCGUGCGCAGGCGGUUCUAUAAGUCAGGCGUGAAAUUCCCGGGCUCAACCUGGGGGCUGCGCUUGAUACUUGGCUGCUUGAGUGGGGAAGAGGGUCGUGGAAUUCCCAGUGUAGAGGUGAAAUUCGUAGAUAUUGGGAGGAACACCAGUGGCGAAGGCGGCUUUCUGGACUGCAACUGACGCUGAGGCUCGAAAGCCAGGGGAGCGAACGGGAUUAGAUACCCCCGUAGUCCCUGUCUCUUAUAA
RNAcentral lists this ribosomal RNA (301 nucleotides) under uncultured bacterium. Its description in RNAcentral is "partial 16S ribosomal RNA". It matches the Rfam family "Bacterial small subunit ribosomal RNA", at positions 509 to 809 of the family's 1533-position model. The record is from RNAcentral.